GGGCUCACAAUCCAAAAACCUUUGUUGGUUUUACGGGCUCACCAACGAACCUUUACACUUUGGUUUUCCGGGUUCACCAAAAACCUUUGUUGGUUUUACGGGCUCACCAACGAACCUUUACAAUUGGUUUUCCGGGUUCACCAAUCAACCUACUCCGUUGGUUUUCCGGGCUCACCAACCAACCUUUACAAGUUGUUUAACAAAUAAAGAAAGAAGAUUUAAACUCCUAAAUGAGCAAAUGAAACA
This 246-nucleotide long non-coding RNA is filed under the name Phoenix dactylifera (date palm). RNAcentral's name for it is "long non-coding RNA (PDAC_LNC005976)". The record is from RNAcentral. Lineage: Eukaryota; Viridiplantae; Streptophyta; Magnoliopsida; Arecales; Arecaceae.